GAGCACGUAGGUGGGUUUGUAAGUCAGAUGUGAAAGCCUUCUGUUCAACGGGAGAAAUGCAUCUGAAACUGCUAAUCUUGAGUAUAGGAGGGGAGAAUGGAACUUUUGGUGGAGCGGUGAAAUGCGUAGAUAUCAGAAGGAACGUCGGCGGCGAAAGCGAUUCUCUGGCCUAUUACUGACACUCAGUGUGCGAAAGCUAGGGGAGCAAACGGGAUUAGAUACCCCGGUAGUCCUAGCCGUAAACGAUGGGCACUAAGUAGAGGGGAUUACCUAUGUUCUCUCUGCCGUAGCUAACGCAUUAAGUGCCCCGCCUGGGGAGUACGGCCGCAAGGCUAAAACUCAAAAGAAUUGACGGGGGCUCGCACAAGCGGUGGAGCAUGUGGCUUAAUUCGAUGCAACGCGAAAAACCUUACCGGGGCUUGACAUGAUAGAAGUAGGAACCUGAAAGGGGGACGAACGGUAUCCAGUCCGUAGCUAUUACAGGUGUUGCAUGGCUGUCGUCAGCUCGUGUCGUGAGACGUUGGGUUAAGUCCCCUAACGAGCGAAACCCUUGUUUUUAGUUACCAGCGGGUUAUGCCGGGUACUCUAGAAAGACUGCCGUCGUCAAGACGGAGGAAGGUGGGGGAUGACGUCAAGUCAUCAUGGCCCUUAUGCCCCGGGCUGCACACGUGCUACAAUGGUCGGUACAGACGGAAGCGAAGCCGAGAGGUGAAGCGAAUCC
This 721-nucleotide ribosomal RNA is filed under the name uncultured ammonia-oxidizing bacterium. RNAcentral describes it as "bacterial SSU rRNA". It matches the Rfam family "Bacterial small subunit ribosomal RNA", at positions 565 to 1274 of the family's 1533-position model. The record is from RNAcentral.